GGAAUAUUGCACAAUGGGGGAAACCCUGAUGCAGCAACGCCGCGUGAGUGAUGACGGCCUUCGGGUUGUAAAGCUCUGUCUUCAGGGACGAUAAUGACGGUACCUGAGGAGGAAGCCACGGCUAACUCCGUGCCAGCAGCCGCGGUAAUACGGAGGGUGCAAGCGUUAAUCGGAAUUACUGGGCGUAAAGCGCACGCAGGCGGUCUGUCGAGUCGGAUGUGAAAUCCCCGGGCUCAACCUGGGAACUGCAUUCGAAACUGGCAGGCUAGAGUCUUGUAGAGGGGGGUAGAAUUCCAGGUGUAGCGGUGAAAUGCGUAGAGAUCUGGAGGAAUACCGGUGGCGAAGGCGGCCCCCUGGACAAAGACUGACGCUCAGGUGCGAAAGCGUGGGGAGCAAACAGGA
RNAcentral lists this unclassified non-coding RNA (402 nucleotides) under plant metagenome. Its description in RNAcentral is "partial contains 5.8S ribosomal RNA, internal transcribed spacer 2, and large subunit ribosomal RNA". It matches the Rfam family "Bacterial small subunit ribosomal RNA", at positions 358 to 777 of the family's 1533-position model. The record is from RNAcentral.